This 336-nucleotide unclassified non-coding RNA is filed under the name soil metagenome. Its description in RNAcentral is "partial contains 5.8S ribosomal RNA, internal transcribed spacer 2, and large subunit ribosomal RNA". The stretch from base 1 to 120 matches the Rfam family "5.8S ribosomal RNA", at positions 35 to 154 of the family's 154-position model. The record is from RNAcentral.
GAUGAAGAACGUAGCGAAAUGCGAUAAGUAAUGUGAAUUGCAGAAUUCAGUGAAUCAUCGAAUCUUUGAACGCACAUUGCGCCCGCCAGUAUUCUGGCGGGCAUGCCUGUUCGAGCGUCAUUUCAACCCUCAAGCCCCCGGGCUUGGUGUUGGGGAUCGGCCUAACCGCCGUCCCCCAAAUACAGUGGCGGUCUCGCUGCAGCCUCCCCUGCGUAGUAGCAACACUCGCAUGCGGAGCGCGGCGCGGCCACGCCGUAAAACCCCCGACUUUCUGAACGUUGACCUCGGAUCAGGUAGGAAUACCCGCUGAACUUAAGCAUAUCAAUAAGCGGAGGA